Long non-coding RNA from Amphiprion ocellaris (clown anemonefish), 2039 nucleotides. The record is from Ensembl. Lineage: Eukaryota; Metazoa; Chordata; Actinopteri; Pomacentridae.
CACAGAUGAGGGCAAGCUCAAGAUCUUCGUUCCCCCCACAGGUCUCCAAGCCCACUUUGGCUACUGGUCCUCCUGUCGAGCCUCGUGCUCCGGCAGCGGGUCCAAGUAGUCCAAAGUGGGUGAGGAACCUGCGGGCCCUCAUGGAGGAGUGCAACAGGCGGCGUGGCGGCCUGACAGGUAAGAGAGGUGCUGGGCCUCCAGCAGGCCAACCUCCAGGUAAGAGGUCUCCCACUUAGACUCUUACAUUUAAUAUAAUUUCAUUCUAGUCUUUAGGUUUUUAAGUUUUACUGAAUGUGAUUUAUGUUGGAUGUGAUCUGACCAGAUUUUAUUUGAAUGAUCCUGUUGUGAUGAUGUCUGGUUGAUCUAUUCCAACUUUAUUUGAAUAGAUUUUAUUUUAUUCUACUUUAUGUAUUUUCUCUUUGUAUAGUGUGAUUUAUGUUGGAUGUGAUUUGAUCAGACUUUAUUUGAAUGAUCCUGUUGUGAUGAUGUCUGGUUGAUCUAUUCCAACUUUAUUUGAAUCUUUUUUUUCUGGUUUUAUUGUACAUAGUUCGUUUGCACACUGUGAUUUAUGUUGGAUGUGAUCUGACCAGAUUUUAUUUGAAUGAUCCUGUUGUGAUGAUGUCUGGUUGAUCUAUUCCAACUUUAUUUGAAUGAAUUUAAAUGUAUUAUCUACUGUUUGUGGCCCUGUGAUGGACUGGCGAGCUGUCCAGGGUGUCUCUGCCUUCGCCAGGAGUCGACUAGGAAAGACUCCAGCCCCACAUGACCCUACAGAGGAUCAAGUGGAGUGUAGAGGAUGGAUGGAUGGAUGGAUGGAUGGAUGGAUGGAUGGAUGGAUGGAUGGGCUCUGUGUGAUUCCAGCUGAACUCUGUCCUUGUCAGUGGGACUCAGGUCAGGGUGUCUUUCAGUGGUGUGGGUGGAUGUGGGGGGAAUAGCGCCCUCACAGUGAAGCUGUAUCAGUUGUAAUAUGUGUGUCUGCAUCCCACCCUGGACCCACAGUGGAGUCCACAGUGACAAGGACCAGAGUUCAGUGGAAGCACACUGGGAGGGGGGAGGAAGAUUUCACGGGCCGCUGCACAGCGGUGGCCCGUGACAAGGUAAGUUUCAGGUUUACAUUUUAUAUUCAUAACACAAGAAGUUUUUAAAUCUUCAAUAGGAGGUGAUAAAUGUUCUGACAUGUUCUCCUGUUGUUUUUUUCUGCUCCAGGUCCCAGCUCCAGCAGACCCAUGAAGAUGACCAACCGAGCCCACCAGAGACGACCCCAGAGACUACAACCAGACGACAGGACAACUUUCUAAAGAGCAGAAUGCACUGGAUGGAACAUCGAGGAGAGAAAAGAUGUUAAGAAGAAAAGGAUGAUGGGAACCAGAUCCAGGACCAGUGCAUGAGAUGUGAGACCACAAAACUAAUACAAGAGCUCUCUCUGCAAGACACCCAGUAAAAUGAAGGAUCAGAUCAGGACAAGAGACUGGACAAGAGCAGCCCCAGCAUGUGAAUACAGACUAUGGAAGAGGGGAUGCUUGUUAUAGUGACACAAAAGGAGGAAGUCGGUGUACAAAGAGAAAAUCCCACACAGUCAGAGAACAUGAAGAGGAAGAAGCAGAUGAGCAGCAGAAUCUAAGAAGACAAAGAAGCAGUUGGAGGAGCCUCCAGACGAUUAGCAACAGAAGAAACGUGUCCCAGAACAGGAAGAAGAAGACCAACAUCAAAGAGAGAAGAAGAAGAAACAGACCCAAGAAGAAGAAAGAAAAGCUCCAGAUUACUCCAAAGGUCCUCUCUGCAGGUGUUUCUGGAUCUGGAGCUACACGUUUAGAUCUGCUUUUACUGGCCUCACCAACCUGCAGAGUUCAUGUUCUCUCCCUCCUCUGUACCCUCAUCCCAAACGGAGGUUUUUUUUUCAACUUCCUGGCAACAGGAAGUUUUUUUUCCUCCAUGCUGCUACCAAAUGCUUGAUCUGAUCCAAAUGCAAUCAGAGAGAGUCUUAAAUAAAAAGCCAAAACAAGAGAACUGUAUCUGUUUGUUCAGACGGUUGACAUUAUGGA